GCCAUGCCGCGUGAAGGAAGACGGCCUUAUGGGUUGUAAACUUCUUUUAUACAGGAAGAAACCUUUCCACGUGUGGAAAGCUGACGGUACUGUAAGAAUAAGGAUCGGCUAACUCCGUGCCAGCAGCCGCGGUAAUACGGAGGAUCCAAGCGUUAUCCGGAAUUAUUGGGUUUAAAGGGUCCGCAGGCUGUUUGUUAAGUCAGAGGUGAAAUCCUGCCGCUCAACGGUAGAACUGCCUUUGAUACUGGCAAACUUGAGUUAUUGUGAAGUAGUUAGAAUGUGUAGUGUAGCGGUGAAAUGCAUAGAUAUUACACAGAAUACCGAUUGCGAAAGCAGAUUACUAACAAUGUACUGACGCUGAGGGACGAAAGCGUGGGUAGCGAACAGGAUUAGAUACCCUGGUAGUCCACGCCGUAAACGAUGGUCACUAGCUGUUUGAUGUACAUUGGUACAUUGAGUGGCUAAGCGAAAGUGAUAAGUGACCCACCUGGGGAGUACGCUCGCAAGAGUGAAACUCAAAGGAAUUGACGGGGGCCCGCACAAGCGGUGGAGCAUGUGGUUUAAUUCGAUGAUACGCGAGGAACCUUACCAGGACUUAAAUGUAAGUUGCAUGAUUCAGAAAUGGAUCUUUCUUCGGACUACUUACAAGGUGCUGCAUGGUUGUCGUCAGCUCGUGCCGUGAGGUGUCAGGUUAAGUCCUAUAACGAGCGCAACCCCUAUCGUUAGUUGCCAUCAAGUAAAGUUGGGAACUCUAGCGAAACUGCCGGUGCAAACCGUGAGGAAGGUGGGGAUGACGUCAAAUCAUCACGGCCCUUACGUUCUGGGCUACACACGUGCUACAAUGGCCGGUACAGAAAGCAGCCACUAUGCGAAUAGGAGCUAAUCUUCAAAGCCGGUCUCAGUUCGGAUCGCAGUCUGCAACUCGACUGCGUGAAGCUGGAAUCGCUAGUAAUCGGAUAUCAGCCAUGAUCCGGUGAAUACGUUCCCGGGCCUUGUACACACCGCCCGUCAAGCCAUGGAAGCUGGGGGUACCUAAAGUCGGUGACCGAAAGGAGCCGCCUAGGGUAAAACUAGUAACUGGGGCUAAGUCGUAACAAGGUAGCCGUACCGGAAGGUGCGGCUGGAAUACCUCCUUUCU
This 1138-nucleotide ribosomal RNA is filed under the name uncultured Flavobacteriaceae bacterium. RNAcentral describes it as "bacterial SSU rRNA". It matches the Rfam family "Bacterial small subunit ribosomal RNA", at positions 391 to 1533 of the family's 1533-position model. The record is from RNAcentral. Lineage: Bacteria; Pseudomonadati; Bacteroidota; Flavobacteriia; Flavobacteriales; Flavobacteriaceae.